Etheostoma spectabile (orangethroat darter) is the source of this 168-nucleotide long non-coding RNA. RefSeq lists it as uncharacterized. NCBI's taxonomy places the organism in Eukaryota, Metazoa, Chordata, Actinopteri, Perciformes, Percidae. The record is from RefSeq and is a predicted model, not a curated record. The transcript has 3 exons.
ACCCGGGCAGAAGACGCAGGCUCUGGGGAGGUGGAACGUCACCUCUUUGUGAGGGAAGGAGCCAAAACUUGCGCGGGAGGUUGAGCGCUACCAGUUAGAUCUGGUGGGGCUUACGUCUACGCACAUUCUCGGUUCUGGAACCGUACUCCUGGAUAGGGGUUGGACUCU